AGCGUCCAGUAGAGCUGGAGCCUGGUGACUAGGGAGGAGGUGGAAGGUACACGGACAGGCUCUCCGGAAGGGCCCCUGGGUGUCGAGAAGUCUGGAACUUUAUUCGAGGUGCCAAGGAAAACCAUUGAAGGAUUUUAGCAAGAAUGUAAUAUGAGCUCAUUCAUACUUUUGAAAACCACUUUGCAGAGAAAGGAGACCAACGUUCACGUGAAGAGACAAAUUAAAGGGCUAUGUGCACUCGGAAGAAAAAAUGAAGAAAGACGGAUUUUAUUUGAAUGGAACCACACAAGUAUGUACUCUUGCAGUCUAGCUUCUGCACUUAGCCUAAAUGUGUUCAAGUCUCCACCAUAUUGUUACGUGGAUCUGUAGUUUAUUUUUCAUUGCAGAAUACUAUUCCCUUGUAGCUAGAGAACAUAAUCUGCAAUCCAUUCACGUGUUGAUGGACAUUGUGGCUUUUUACAGUGUUUGGGUAUUUUAAUCAAAGAUUCCAGGAACAUUUGUGUAUGAGUCUUCUUUAGAAAACACUUUAAAAUUCAUUUUGAAUAAAUAAUCUAGGAAUGGAAUUGCUAGGUCAUAGGUCUUAUUUCAUGAGGAAGUGGCAAACAGUUUUCCAAAGUGAUGGUACCAUUUGAUAUCCCCAUUCAAUAAGGUUUGAAAAUGUCACUUCCUCAAUGUUGCUUUGUCCACCUUUGGUAUUAUCAGUCUUUUUAAACUUUAGCCAUUCUACUAUGUGUGUAAUUUACAUUUUUGUGAUGACUAAUGUUUUUUGUCAGAUACAAAUACACAUAGAGUGAAUAUUUUCUCCCCACCUAUGUCUUGCCUUUUCAGUUUCUAAUUAUUUUUUUUGAAGUUUUUUAAUUUUGGUAAAGUUCAAUUAAUAUUGCUUUCUCCUAUAUAGCUUGUGUUUUUGUCCUAAAAAUUUUGCUUACUUCAAGGUUUCAAGCAUGUUUUCCCAGAUUUUCUCUUUAAAAGUUAUACAGUUUUAGCUUUUACAUGGAUCUGUGAUCUCUUUCUAGUUAAUUCUGUAUAUGGUAUAAAGUAAUGACCAAGAUUAUUUUCUUUGAUAUGUAUGGCCAGGUGUUCCAGCAACAUUUUUGAAAAGACUAUCUUUGCCCUGUUACAUUGGCAUCUUUGUAAAAAAUGAAUUGGUCAUAUUUGUGUGGGUCUAUUUAUAGCUUCCAUAUUCUGUUUCAUUGAUCACCAUGUCUAUUCUUACACUAAUCGUAUGCUGUUUUGCUUAUGGCAGUUACACAAUAAACCAUGAAAUCAGGCA
Long non-coding RNA from Leopardus geoffroyi (Geoffroy's cat), 1273 nucleotides. RefSeq lists it as uncharacterized. NCBI's taxonomy places the organism in Eukaryota, Metazoa, Chordata, Mammalia, Carnivora, Felidae. The record is from RefSeq and is a predicted model, not a curated record. The transcript has 2 exons.